AUUCCAGCCCCAAUAGCGUAUAUUAAAGUUGUUGCAGUUAAAAAGCUCGUAGUCGCAUUUCUGGCGAGAGGAAUUGGUCCGACAUUUAUUGUGGGUACUCGAUUCUCUCUCGCCAUCCUUGAGUGGUCCGUUCUGGCAUUUAGUUGUCGGAGCGUCAGCCGCUCAUCGUUUACUGUGAGAAAAUUAGAGUGUUCAAAGCAGGCUUAUGCCGUUGAAUAUAUUAGCAUGGAAUAAUAAGAUAGGACCUCGGUGCUAUUUUGUUGGUUUGCGCACAGAGGUAAUGAUGAACAGGGACAGUUGGGGGUAUUUGUAUUUCGUUGUCAGAGGUGAAAUUCUUAGAUUUACGAAAGACAAACUACUGCGAAAGCAUUUACCAAGGAUGUUUUCAUCA
This 391-nucleotide ribosomal RNA is filed under the name Chaetoceros sp. Its description in RNAcentral is "partial small subunit ribosomal RNA". It matches the Rfam family "Eukaryotic small subunit ribosomal RNA", at positions 582 to 975 of the family's 1831-position model. The record is from RNAcentral. Lineage: Eukaryota; Bacillariophyta; Thalassiosirophyceae; Chaetocerotales; Chaetocerotaceae.